CACGUAGGGCACAAGCGUUGUCCGGAAUUAUUGGGCGUAAAGAGCUCGUAGGCGGUCUGUUGCGUCCGCUGUGAAAACCCGGGGCUUAACCCUGGGCUGGCAGUGGAUACGGACAGACUAGAGGUAGGUAGGGGAGAAUGGAAUUCCCGGUGUAGCGGUGAAAUGCGCAGAUAUCCGGAGGAACACCAGUGGCGAAAGCGGCCACCUGGACUGUACCUGACGCUCCAACGCGAAAGCUAGGGGAGCGAACGGG
This 253-nucleotide ribosomal RNA is filed under the name uncultured bacterium. RNAcentral's name for it is "partial 16S ribosomal RNA". It matches the Rfam family "Bacterial small subunit ribosomal RNA", at positions 524 to 776 of the family's 1533-position model. The record is from RNAcentral.